GACGAACGCUGGCGGCGUGCCUAAUACAUGCAAGUUGAGCGCUGAAGGUUGGUACUUGUACCAACUGGAUGAGCAGCGCACGGGUGAGUAACGCGUGGAGAAUCUCCCUUUGAGCGGGGGACAACCUUUGGAAACGAAUGCUAAUACCGCAUAAAAACUUUAAACACAAGUUUUAAGUUUGAAAGAUGCAAUUGCAUCACUCAAAGAUGAUCCCGCGUUGUAUUAGCUAGUUGGUGAGGUAAAGGCUCACCAAGGCGAUGAUACAUAGCCGACCUGAGAGGGUGAUCGGCCACAUUGGGACUGAGACACGGCCCAAACGGCUACGGGAGGCAGCAGUAGGGCAUCUUCGGCAAUGGACGAAAGUCUGACCGAGCAACGCCGCGUGAGUGAAGAAGGGUGUCGGAUCGUAAAACUCGGUUGGUAGAGAAGAACGUUGGUGAGAGUGGAAAGCUCAUAAAGUGACGGUAACUACCCAGAAAGGGACGGCUAACUACGUG
Molecule: ribosomal RNA, 497 nt
Filed under: uncultured bacterium
Lineage: Bacteria
Description: partial 16S ribosomal RNA
Rfam family: Bacterial small subunit ribosomal RNA
Source: RNAcentral